Molecule: ribosomal RNA, 503 nt
Filed under: uncultured bacterium
Lineage: Bacteria
Description: partial 16S ribosomal RNA
Rfam family: Bacterial small subunit ribosomal RNA
Source: RNAcentral
AUUGAGCGCUGGCGGCAGGCUUAACACAUGCAAGUCGAGCGGGGUGAUGGUGCUUGCACUAUCACUUAGCGGCGGACGGGUGAGUAAUGCUUAGGAAUCUGCCUAUUAGUGGGGGACAACAUCUCGAAAGGGAUGCUAAUACCGCAUACGUCCUACGGGAGAAAGCAGGGGAUCACUUGUGACCUUGCGCUAAUAGAUGAGCCUAAGUCGGAUUAGCUAGUUGGUGGGGUAAAGGCCUACCAAGGCGACGAUCUGUAGCGGGUCUGAGAGGAUGAUCCGCCACACUGGGACUGAGACACGGCCCAGACUCCUACGGGAGGCAGCAGUGGGGAAAAUUGGACAAUGGGGGGAACCCUGAUCCAGCCAUGCCGCGUGUGUGAAGAAGGCCUUAUGGUUGUAAAGCACUUUAAGCGAGGAGGAGGCUCCUUUGGUUAAUACCCAAGAUGAGUGGACGUUACUCGCAGAAUAAGCACCGGCUAACUCUGUGCCAGCAGCCGCCGUAA